GAUCAAGCGCAAAAGGGCGUCUGGUGGAUGCCUUGGCGUUGAGAGGCGAUGAAGGACGUGGCACACUGCGAUAAGCCA
This 78-nucleotide ribosomal RNA is filed under the name Hyphomicrobiales bacterium. Its description in RNAcentral is "partial 23S ribosomal RNA". It matches the Rfam family "Bacterial large subunit ribosomal RNA", at positions 1 to 78 of the family's 2925-position model. Lineage: Bacteria; Pseudomonadati; Pseudomonadota; Alphaproteobacteria; Hyphomicrobiales. The record is from RNAcentral.